Molecule: ribosomal RNA, 465 nt
Filed under: uncultured Klebsiella sp.
Lineage: Bacteria; Pseudomonadati; Pseudomonadota; Gammaproteobacteria; Enterobacterales; Enterobacteriaceae
Description: bacterial SSU rRNA
Rfam family: Bacterial small subunit ribosomal RNA
Source: RNAcentral
CCUACGGGGGGCUGCAGUGGGGAAUAUUGCACAAUGGGCGCAAGCCUGAUGCAGCCAUGCCGCGUGUGUGAAGAAGGCCUUCGGGUUGUAAAGCACUUUCAGCGGGGAGGAAGGCGUUAAGGUUAAUAACCUUGGCGAUUGACGUUACCCGCAGAAGAAGCACCGGCUAACUCCGUGCCAGCAGCCGCGGUAAUACGGAGGGUGCAAGCGUUAAUCGGAAUUACUGGGCGUGAAGCGCACGCAGGCGGUCUGUCAAGUCGGAUGUGAAAUCCCCGGGCUCAACCUGGGAACUGCAUUCGAAACUGGGAGGCUAGAGUCUUGUAGAGGGGGGUAUAAUUCCAGGUGUAGCGGUGAAAUGCGUAGAGAUCUGGAGGAAUACCGGUGGCGAAGGCGGCCCCCUGGACAAAGACUGACGCUCAGGUGCGAAAGCGUGGGGAGCAAACAGGAUUAGAUACCCGGGUAGUC